Long non-coding RNA from Drosophila suzukii, 520 nucleotides. RefSeq lists it as uncharacterized. The record is from RefSeq and is a predicted model, not a curated record. Lineage: Eukaryota; Metazoa; Arthropoda; Insecta; Diptera; Drosophilidae.
UCCAGUAUUUUUGAGUGGCAUCCAGUAUUCUAAGUGGUGUUUAGCACUCAGUGUGGCUGCCAGCUAUAAAAGCUAGCCAGCGAAUAAAGCUUAAAGUAUUUUUUAAAAAUUCCGGGUGGAAAACCCAGCCAGUGCUGCCACAAGUUGCCGCCAAAGGCGCAUCUUAUUGAUUCGGCCAAUUUACUGGAGGAUUUACCACCUCAAGAAGGCCAAAAUCAAAUCUCGGGGCCCAAUCGUCAGGUUGGCCCGCGAGGAAUGAUUUGGAGAGAUUAGUGCCCUGAAGUACCCCUAUCUACUAUCUACCUAUCUACGGGCUAUGUAGUGCCUUUCAAGAAGUGCAGUUUUACUUAGAGCGGAUCCGAUGGCAGUUUAAUUCAAUUACAUAACCUGUCCCGAUGCCCAUCAUGCCACGCAUCCGUACACCAGCCGAGUUUUAAGGGGUGCGCGUAGCCGUCUGGGAGGCUUCCGAGUGAAAUAUCGCUGCCGCAGAUUUAGGGAUUUAUACCCGAUUAUGUUGUAA